RNAcentral lists this ribosomal RNA (253 nucleotides) under uncultured bacterium. RNAcentral's name for it is "partial 16S ribosomal RNA". It matches the Rfam family "Bacterial small subunit ribosomal RNA", at positions 524 to 776 of the family's 1533-position model. The record is from RNAcentral.
UACGUAGGGUGCGAGCGUUAAUCGGAAUUACUGGGCGUAAAGUGUGCGCAGGCGGCUGAGCAAGUCGAGUGUGAAAGCCCCGGGCUUAACUUGGGAAUUGCGCUCGAAACUACUUGGCUUGAGUGUGGCAGAGGAAGGUGGAAUUCCACGUGUAGCGGUGAAAUGCGUAGAGAUGUGGAGGAACACCGAUGGCGAAGGCAGCCUUCUGGGCCAACACUGACGCUCAUGCACGAAAGCUAGGGGAGCGAACGGG